This 433-nucleotide ribosomal RNA is filed under the name uncultured bacterium. Its description in RNAcentral is "partial 16S ribosomal RNA". It matches the Rfam family "Bacterial small subunit ribosomal RNA", at positions 29 to 507 of the family's 1533-position model. The record is from RNAcentral.
AACGAACGCUGGCGGCAUGCCUAACACAUGCAAGUCGAACGAGACCUUCGGGUCUAGUGGCGCACGGGUGCGUAACGCGUGGGAACCUGCCCUUAGGUUCGGAAUAACUCCCCGAAAGGGGUGCUAAUACCGGAUAAUGUCUUCGGACCAAAGAUUUAUCGCCUUUGGAUGGGCCCGCGUUGGAUUAGCUAGUUGGUAGGGUAAAAGCCUACCAAGGCGACGAUCCAUAGCUGGUCUGAGAGGAUGAUCAGCCACACUGGGACUGAGACACGGCCCAGACUCCUACGGGAGGCAGCAGUGUGGAAUAUUGGACAAUGGGCGAAAGCCUGAUCCAGCAAUGCCGCGUGAGUGAUGAAGGCCUUAGGGUUGUAAAGCUCUUUUACCCGGGAUGAUAAUGACAGUACCGGGAGAAUAAGCUCCGGCUAACUCCGUG